RNAcentral lists this unclassified non-coding RNA (405 nucleotides) under soil metagenome. RNAcentral's name for it is "partial contains 5.8S ribosomal RNA, internal transcribed spacer 2, and large subunit ribosomal RNA". The stretch from base 1 to 121 matches the Rfam family "5.8S ribosomal RNA", at positions 35 to 154 of the family's 154-position model. The record is from RNAcentral.
GAUGAAGAACGUAGCGAAAUGCGAUAAGUAAUGUGAAUUGCAGAAUUCAGUGAAUCAUCGAAUCUUUGAACGCACCUUGCGCCCUUUGGACAUUCCGAAGGGCAUGCCUGUUUGAGUAUCAUGAACACCUCAACUCUCACGGCUUGUCCGUGAUGAGCUUGGACUUUGGGGGUCUUGCCGGCCUGUGGUCGGCUCCUCUCGAAUGGAUCAGCUUGCCAGUGUUUGGUGGCAUCACAGGUGUGAUAACUAUCUGCGCUUGUGGUUUUCCAUCAGAUAACCUUCAGUGAUAUGGAGGUUCGCUGGAGCUCACAAAUGUCUCUCCUUAGUGAGGACAGCUCUUUGAACGUUUGAUCUCAAAUCAGGUAGGACUACCCGCUGAACUUAAGCAUAUCAAUAAGCGGAGGA